AUUGAACGCUGACAGCGUGGAUGAGGCAUGCAAGUCGCACGAAGAUGUUGCUUCGGUAGCAUCUUAGUGGCGGAAGGGUUAGUAAUACAUGGGUAAUCUGCCUUAAACUCUGGAAUAACAGUUGGAAACGACUGCUAAUGCCGGAUGUGGUGGAGUCGAGGUACUCGACUCCAUUAAAGAAGGGGACUUCGUAAAGAAGCCUUUUGGUUUAAGAGGGGCCCAUGCGAUAUCAGCUUGUUGGUGUGGUAAAGGCGCACCAAGGCUAAGACGUCUAGGCGGGUUGAGAGAUUGGCCGCCAACACUGGGACUGAGACACUGCCCAGACUCCUACGGGAGGCUGCAGUCGAGAAUCAUUCGCAAUGGGCGAAAGCCUGACGAUGCGACGCUGUGUGAGCGAAGAAGGCCUUCGGGUUGUAAAGCUCUUUCGCCAGGGAACAAGAGAUGAUGGUUAAUAACUAUCAAAUUUGAGGGUACCUGGUAAAGAAGCACCGGCUAACUCCGUGCCAGCAGCUGCGGUAAUACGGAGGGUGCAAGCGUUAAUCGGAUUUAUUGGGCGUAAAGAGGGCGCAGGUGGGAAAGUAAGUCAGAUGUGAAAGCCCGGGGCUCAACCCCGGAAUAGCAUCUGAAACUGCUUUUCUAGAGGAUAGGCGGAGAAAACGGAAUUCCACGUGUAGCGGUGAAAUGCGUAGAUAUGUGGAAGAACACCCGUGGCGAAGGCGGUUUUCUAGCUUACUCCUGACACUCAGGCCCGAAAGCAAGGGGAGCGAACAGGAUUAGAUACCCUGGUAGUCCUUGCCGUAAACGAUGCAUACUAGGUGUAGAUGGACUCAACCCCGUCUGUGCCGGAGCUAACGCGUUAAGUAUGCCGCCUGGGGAGUACGCUCGCAAGGGUGAAACUCAAAAGAAUUGACGGGGACCCGCACAAGCAGUGGAGCAUGUGGUUUAAUUCGAUGCAACGCGAAGAACCUUACCCAGGCUUGACAUCUAGUGGACAGCUUAAGAAAUUAAGUUUCCUGUAUAGGUCGCUAGACAGGUGCUGCAUGGCUGUCGUCAGCUCGUGCCGUGAGGUGUUGGGUUAAGUCCCGCAACGAGCGCAACCCUUAUCGUUAGUUGCCAGCACGUAAUGGUGGGAACUCUAACGAGACUGCCUAGGUUAACUAGGAGGAAGGUGAGGAUGACGUCAAGUCCGCAUGGCCCUUAUGCCUGGGGCUACACACGUGCUACAAUGGCCGACACAGAAGGCUGCGAAACCGAGAGGUGAAGCAAAUCCAACAAAGUCGGUCCCAGUUCGGAUUGAAGUCUGCAACUCGACUUCAUGAAGCCGGAAUUGCUAGUAAUGGCGUGUCAGCAACAACGCCGUGAAUACGUUCCCGGGUCUUGUACACACCGCCCGUCACAUCAUGGAAGUUGGUUCCACCCGAAGUCGCCGACUCAACCGCAAGGGGAGAGGCGCCGAAGGUGAGGCUGAUGACUCGGAUG
Molecule: ribosomal RNA, 1479 nt
Filed under: uncultured bacterium
Lineage: Bacteria
Description: bacterial SSU rRNA
Rfam family: Bacterial small subunit ribosomal RNA
Source: RNAcentral